Molecule: ribosomal RNA, 306 nt
Filed under: Triticum aestivum (bread wheat)
Lineage: Eukaryota; Viridiplantae; Streptophyta; Magnoliopsida; Poales; Poaceae
Description: partial small subunit ribosomal RNA
Source: RNAcentral
AUGACCAUGUCUUGCAAACUCUCAACUGGUGCAGUGGUGAGAUGGCCCCACUCAGUGGCAGCUGAGGCAUCGGCAUUUGGUGUGCUUUCAGGUCAUCUUGUGAUGAUGGCAGCAGGGCAAACCAAAAACAUGAAUAUUAGCGUAAACCUGUGCACAGAUCCUUUACAUUCCAUGGUGGAUUUUAUGUUUCAUUGUGGAUUUUAUGUUCCUUGUAUAGUUUACGUUCCACUUAGGGAGUUUACAUUCCACUUAGAUUUCACGUUCCAGAUUUUAUGUUUCCAUGCAAAUAACAUAAAUGUCGCAUGA